UGCUCGUUUGUGGGAAGUUCCGAGGCCGAAGCUGCUUUCAGUUGGGAGCCCACUGCCCCAGCAUUCCGGCUGUGCCUGCGGAGGGGAAGCGGAGCCAGGGAGACUUGUCCGUGUUUUGCUAAUAGCCAUCUGGCAGGGAUGCGGCAGCAUGCGGAAUCUUCACAGGGCUCUUGUUUUUCCUCUUCUCUGCUGGGUAACUAAGGAGAUCACCAGACUGCAGGGCCUCCUGCCAGACGGUAGGCAGUUUGCAGAUGGCAGAGAUCAUGGCAGAGCAAUGUUCGUUCCAAGAACCUUGCUUUAAGUCAGGCAGACCAGAGGCCAGGAAUGCUGUUUCAUCUCCUUCAGAACGUAGCCCGUAAACAGUCUAGUUUAAUCCAAGGGGACCAGGAGGACAGCAACCUCGAUGGGCGAACCCAGCCACCAGAGGCUCCAGGUGAAAGAUCUAGAAGCUCACACCAGUGACAACUUGUGUUGCCUUCAUCUUCUGUUUUGUUUUUUAAAAGCAUCUCAUACAGACACCGUGCCUUGUGCUUUAUCCAGAAAAGGAUCUCUAGAGUCUGCUCAGAGUGGACUUUGUUCCCCACAACUGUCAGCUCUCUGCACCUCUGCAGCGCAAGAGAAGACAGCUCACAACAGCUUUUAUCUACAAGGAUUCCCCCAGGCAGUCUCUGUAAAAGGGUUAAUGACAGAUGUUUCCAUUAAAUCUGACCUACCUCUUAA
This is a long non-coding RNA of Peromyscus leucopus (white-footed mouse), 720 nucleotides long. RefSeq lists it as uncharacterized. The transcript has 3 exons. Lineage: Eukaryota; Metazoa; Chordata; Mammalia; Rodentia; Cricetidae. The record is from RefSeq and is a predicted model, not a curated record.